AACGCACCUUGCGCUCCUUGGUAUUCCGAGGAGCAUGCCUGUUUGAGUGUCAUGAAUCUCUCAAACUAUACAUGGUUUUUGUUAAUCAUUGUAUUAGUUUGGACUUGGAGGUCUGCUGGCGCAAGUCAGCUCCUCUUAAAUGUAUUAGCUUGGAUUCUUGUAUGUGGAUCCUUGGUGUGAUAAUUAUCUACGCCAUGAUGUCCCUUCAAAUUAUAAUCCUGCUUCUAAUCGUCUGUGAAAAGACAAAUGUGUUCAUCACUUGACAUCUGACCUCAAAUCAGGUAGGACUACCCGCUGAACUUAA
RNAcentral lists this unclassified non-coding RNA (304 nucleotides) under Cleistothelebolus sp. Its description in RNAcentral is "partial contains 5.8S ribosomal RNA, internal transcribed spacer 2, and large subunit ribosomal RNA". The stretch from base 1 to 52 matches the Rfam family "5.8S ribosomal RNA", at positions 103 to 154 of the family's 154-position model. Lineage: Eukaryota; Fungi; Ascomycota; Leotiomycetes. RNAcentral also lists the same sequence under 1 other name. The record is from RNAcentral.